UAUGUGAUCGUCUCUCGCAUAUCAAUAAGCGGAGGAAAAGAAACUAACAAGGAUUCCCCUAGUAACGGCGAGUGAAGCGGGAAGAGCUCAAAUUUGAAAUCUUAAAGGGUUUCCCUUUACGAAUUGUAGUUUAAAGAAGUGUUUUCUGUUGAGGUUUUGGUAAAAGUUCUUUGGAAUAGGACAUCAUAGAGGGUGAGAAUCCCGUAUUUGACCUUUACUUUCAACUUUGUGAUACACUUUCAAAGAGUCGGAUUGUUUGGGAAUGCAGUCCAAAAUGGGUGGUAAAUUUCAUCUAAAGCUAAAUAUUGGCGAGAGACCGAUAGCGAACAAGUACCGUGAGGGAAAGAUGAAAAGAACUUUGAAAAGAGAGUUAAACAGUACGUGAAAUUGUCAAAAGGGAAGCGUUUGACACCAGUGUUGUUUUUCUGAAAAUCAAUUAAAGAACUGUUUAUGCUAAGCUGUUUAGACUUUAUCAGCUAACUGUUUAGUUUUGAGCUUUUCUUUAAUGCACUUUUCAGUUAACAAGUCAACAUCAAUUUCUUUUGCUGUAAAAAAGCUUGAGGAAGGUGGCUUGAGAUUCGUCUUAAGUGUUUAUAGCCUCUUGCCUAUGCAGUCGGAGAGAUUGAGGUCUGCAGCGUAGAUCCUUCGGGGCUAAAUGCAUUUGUGCUAAGUUAUAGCAUUUUAUAGACAACUUGUUGACUAUGAUUUGUCUUGUAGCUUACUCGCUUAUGUUAUUUUACCUACGCUUAGGAUGUUGAUCUACAGAGCGAGAGU
RNAcentral lists this ribosomal RNA (774 nucleotides) under uncultured Neocallimastigales. RNAcentral's name for it is "partial large subunit ribosomal RNA". It matches the Rfam family "Eukaryotic large subunit ribosomal RNA", at positions 24 to 635 of the family's 3401-position model. Lineage: Eukaryota; Fungi; Neocallimastigomycota; Neocallimastigomycetes; Neocallimastigales. The record is from RNAcentral.